This 217-nucleotide long non-coding RNA is filed under the name Mytilus galloprovincialis (Mediterranean mussel). The record is from RNAcentral. Lineage: Eukaryota; Metazoa; Mollusca; Bivalvia; Mytilida; Mytilidae.
CCCCUAUGUUCUAUUUUUAGCCAUGGCGGCCAUCUUGUUUGAUUGGCUGGGUCACCGGACACAUUUUUUAAACUAGAUACCCCAAAGAUGAUCGUGGCCAAGUUUGGUUAAAUUUGGCCCAGUAGUUUCAGAGGAGAAGAUUUUUGUAAAAGUUAACGCAGGACGACGACGGACGACGACGACGGAUGCCGGACGCCAAGUGAUGAGAAAAGCUCAC